RNAcentral lists this ribosomal RNA (543 nucleotides) under uncultured bacterium. Its description in RNAcentral is "bacterial SSU rRNA". It matches the Rfam family "Bacterial small subunit ribosomal RNA", at positions 392 to 926 of the family's 1533-position model. The record is from RNAcentral.
UCAUUCCGCGUGCAGGACGAAGGCCUUCGGGUUGUAAACUGCUUUUGUACGGAACGAAAAGGCUCUGGUUAAUACCUGGGGCUCAUGACGGUACCGUAAGAAUAAGCACCGGCUAACUACGUGCCAGCAGCCGCGGUAAUACGUAGGGUGCAAGCGUUAAUCGGAAUUACUGGGCGUAAAGCGUGCGCAGGCGGUGAUGUAAGACAGAUGUGAAAUCCCCGGGCUCAACCUGGGAACUGCAUUUGUGACUGCAUCGCUGGAGUGCGGCAGAGGGGGAUGGAAUUCCGCGUGUAGCAGUGAAAUGCGUAGAUAUGCGGAGGAACACCGAUGGCGAAGGCAAUCCCCUGGGCCUGCACUGACGCUCAUGCACGAAAGCGUGGGGAGCAAACAGGAUUAGAUACCCUGGUAGUCCACGCCCUAAACGAUGUCAACUGGUUGUUGGGUCUUCACUGACUCAGUAACGAAGCUAACGCGUGAAGUUGACCGCCUGAGGAGUACGGCCGGAAGGUUGCACACUCCAAGGAACUUGACGGGGGACCCGGC